UACGAAGGGGGCUAGCGUUGCUCGGAAUCACUGGGCGUAAAGCGCACGUAGGCGGACUUUUAAGUCAGGGGUGAAAUCCUGGAGCUCAACUCCAGAACUGCCUUUGAUACUGGAAGUCUUGAGUUCGAGAGAGGUGAGUGGAACUGCGAGUGUAGAGGUGAAAUUCGUAGAUAUUCGCAAGAACACCAGUGGCGAAGGCGGCUCACUGGCCCGGUACUGACGCUGAGGCACGAAAGCGUGGGGAGCAAACAGG
This 253-nucleotide ribosomal RNA is filed under the name uncultured bacterium. Its description in RNAcentral is "partial 16S ribosomal RNA". It matches the Rfam family "Bacterial small subunit ribosomal RNA", at positions 524 to 776 of the family's 1533-position model. The record is from RNAcentral.